This 571-nucleotide non-coding RNA is filed under the name Pan troglodytes (chimpanzee). Lineage: Eukaryota; Metazoa; Chordata; Mammalia; Primates; Hominidae. The record is from RNAcentral.
CUUGUAAGAGCCCAGCACAGCACAGAUUUACAAAAUGAUACACAAAGACCUCAGAGUUUCCAGCCUGAUGUUCUGCCUUGUGGAUUUCAGAUUUGCCAAGCCCCACAAUUACAUAAUGAAAUUCCUUAAAGAAGCGAACUUUUGCUAUUGCACAGACCUGCUGCCUCCAGAGCGCCACGCCACUGAUUGUUUUCCUUGUUUCGUGGAAGGAAGACAAAACUUGUUCCAGCUCAACAAGGCUUCCUAUAUCUUUUGCCCCAUCAGUUUAAACACCUCAUUCAAAGUUGUUAUGGAAACACCAUAAUCCUCAAUGCCUUGGCUGGAAUGCAGUGGCUCAAUUUUGGUUCACUGCAACCUGCACCUCCCAGAUUCAAGUGAUUCUCCUGCUUCAGCCUCCCGAGUAGCUGGGAUUACAGUGGUACAUCCUGUAGUUGAGGGCUUCUUACACCUGAUGAAAUACCAUAGGUUCUGCAUGUCAGGAGAUUGCAUAUUCGGUGCCUUGAAAGAGGAUCCAAUCCAGCAGUCGGUUCAUCCAAUAGCAAAACCUGGACAGGAGGAAAGUCCUAAAGUA